ACGCGUUAAGUAUCCCGGCCUGGGGAGUACGCACGCAAGUGUGAAACUCAAACGGAAUUGACGGGGGCCCGCGCAAGCGGUGGAGUAAUGUGGUUUAAUUCGAUGCAACGCGAAGAACCUUACCAGGACUUGACAUGUCGCGAAUCCCAGUGGAAACACAGGAAGUGACCUUCGGGAGCGCGAAACACAGGUGGUGCAUGGCUGUCGUCAGCCUCGUGUCGUGAGAUUGUUGGGUUAAGUCCCGCAACGAGCGCAACCCUUAUCCUUAGUAGCCAGCGGUUCGGCCGGGCACUCUAGGGAGACUGCCAGGGAUAACCUGGAGGAAGUGGGGAUGACGUCAAAUCAUCAUGCCCCUUAUGAUUUGGGCUACACACGUGCGUACAAUUGGCGUAAACGAAAGGGAAGCAACCCUAGCGAAGGCAAGCAAAUCCCAAAAUAACGUCCCAGUUCGGAUUAGUGUCUGCAACUCGACUACAAUGAAGCUGGAAUCGCUAG
Molecule: ribosomal RNA, 495 nt
Filed under: uncultured bacterium
Lineage: Bacteria
Description: bacterial SSU rRNA
Rfam family: Bacterial small subunit ribosomal RNA
Source: RNAcentral